AGAGCUAUAUUCAAUUUAUGAUUUAUGAGUUGCAUUCAUAAGGUGUUUUUUAUAAACUAGCUUUA
This 65-nucleotide transfer RNA is filed under the name Homarus americanus (American lobster). Its description in RNAcentral is "tRNA-Ala". The record is from RNAcentral. Lineage: Eukaryota; Metazoa; Arthropoda; Malacostraca; Decapoda; Nephropidae.